GUGCAGCAGUCGAGAAACUUCACAAUGUGCGAAAGCACGAUGAGGGAAUCCCAAGUGCUUGCACGUAAGUGUAAGCUGUUUCUCUGUCUAAAACGCAGAGAGAGUAAGGGCUGGGUAAGACGGGUGCCAGCCGCCGCGGUAAUACCUGCAGCUCGAGUGGUGACCGUUAUUAUUGGGCCUAAAACGUCCGUAGCCGGUUUAAUAAAUGCCUGGGUAAAUCGGACCGCUUAACGGUUCGAAUUCCGGGUAGACUGUUAAACUUGAGACCGGGAGAAGUUAGAGGUACUCCUGGGGUAGAGGUGAAAUUCUGUAAUCCUAGGGGGACCACCAGUGGCGAAGGCGUCUAACUAGAACGGGUCUGACGGUGAGGGACGAAGCCCUGGGGCGC
This 388-nucleotide ribosomal RNA is filed under the name uncultured microorganism. RNAcentral's name for it is "bacterial SSU rRNA". It matches the Rfam family "Archaeal small subunit ribosomal RNA", at positions 330 to 720 of the family's 1478-position model. The record is from RNAcentral.